AUUGAACGCUGGCGGCAGGCCUAACACAUGCAAGUCGGGCGAGCCGCGGACGGGAGAGUAAUGUAUGGGGAUCUGCCUUAGGGAGGGGUAUCACUACUGGAAACGGUAGCUAAUACCGCAUACUCUCAUAUUAACCCAUAUGGGUUUAGCUUGUAGGUGAGGUAACGGCUUACCUAGGCGACGAUCCCUAGCUGGUCUGAGAGGAUGAUCAGCAACACUGGGACUGAGACACGGCCCAGACUCCUACGGGAGGCAGCAGUGGGGAAUAUUGCACAAUGGGCGCAAGCCUGAUGCAGCCAUGCCGCGUGUAUGAAGAAGGCCUUCGGGUUGUAAAGUACUUUCAGUCGGGAGGCGUUACCGACAGAAGAAGCACCGGCUAACUCCGUGCCAGCAGCCGCGGUAAUAC
This 406-nucleotide ribosomal RNA is filed under the name uncultured bacterium. RNAcentral's name for it is "partial 16S ribosomal RNA". It matches the Rfam family "Bacterial small subunit ribosomal RNA", at positions 30 to 526 of the family's 1533-position model. The record is from RNAcentral.